GGGCCGAUAGAUCAGCGGAAGAUCGCUUCCUUGGCAUGGAAGAGGCCGCGGGUUCAAUUCCCGCUCGGUCCA
Molecule: transfer RNA, 72 nt
Filed under: Methanolinea tarda
Lineage: Archaea; Methanobacteriati; Methanobacteriota; Methanomicrobia; Methanomicrobiales; Methanoregulaceae
Also listed under: 6 other names
Description: tRNA-Ala
Rfam family: tRNA
About the family: Transfer RNA (tRNA) molecules are approximately 80 nucleotides in length. Their secondary structure includes four short double-helical elements and three loops (D, anti-codon, and T loops).
Source: RNAcentral